This 911-nucleotide ribosomal RNA is filed under the name uncultured bacterium. RNAcentral describes it as "bacterial SSU rRNA". It matches the Rfam family "Bacterial small subunit ribosomal RNA", at positions 8 to 919 of the family's 1533-position model. The record is from RNAcentral.
AGAGUUUGAUCCUGGCUCAGGAUGAACGCUGGCGGCGUGCCUAAUACAUGCAAGUCGAGCGAGAACUUGAUGAUCGAAGAUUCGUCUGAUUGAUUCAAGGGAAAGCGGCGGACGGGUGAGUAACGCGUAGGCAACCUGCCCUUAGCAGAGGGAUAGCCAUUGGAAACGAUGAUUAAAACCUCAUAACGCUCUUGGGACACAUGUCCGGGGAGCCAAAGAUUUAUCGGCUAAGGAUGGGCCUGCGUCUGAUUAACUGGUUGGUGAGGUAACGGCUCACCAAGGUGACGAUCAGUAGCCGACCUGAGAGGGUGAACGGCCACAUUGGAACUGAGACACGGUCCAAACUUCUACGGAAGGCAGCAGUAAGGAAUCUUGCACAAUGGGGGAAACCCUGAUGCAGCAACGCCGCGUGAACGAAGAAGGCCUUCGGGUUGUAAAGUUCUGAUCUUGGGGAAGAAGGAAGUGACGGUACCCAAGGAGAAAGCCCCGGCUAACUACGUGCCAGCAGCCGCGGUAAUACGUAGGGGGCAAGCGUUAUCCGGAAUUAUUGGGCGUAAAGAGUGCGUAGGUGGUUACCUAAGCGCAAGGUUUAAUCUUGAGGCUCAACCUCAUAUUGCCUUGCGAACUGGGCUACUUGAGUGCAGGAGGGGAAAGCGGAAUUCCUAGUGUAGCGGUGAAAUGCGUAGAUAUUAGGAAGAACACCGGUGGCGAAGGCGGCUUUCUGGACUGUAACUGACACUGAGGCACGAAAGCGUGGGGAGCAAACAGGAUUAGAUACCCUGGUAGUCCACGCCGUAAACGAUGAGCACUAGUUGUUGGUCCCGAACGGGAUCAGUGACGCAGUUAACGCAAUAAGUGCUCCGCCUGGGGAGUACGGUGGCAACACUAAAACUCAAAGGAAUUGACGGGGA